RNAcentral lists this ribosomal RNA (272 nucleotides) under uncultured bacterium. Its description in RNAcentral is "partial 16S ribosomal RNA". It matches the Rfam family "Bacterial small subunit ribosomal RNA", at positions 524 to 776 of the family's 1533-position model. The record is from RNAcentral.
UACGGGGGGAGCAAGCGUUGUUCGGAUUUACUGGGCGUAAAGGGCGCGUAGGUGGCGAGAUAAGGCUGUGGUGAAAGUUCGGGGCUCAACCCUGAAUCGGCCGUGGCAACUGUUUCGCUAGGGCACCGUAGAGGCAGAUGGAAUUCCGGGUGUAGCGGUGGAAUGCGUAGAGAUCCGGAAGAACACCAGUGGCGAAGGCGGUCUGCUGGGCGGUGGGUCCGCAAGGAUCCAAUAGCCGACACUGAGGCGCGACAGCGUGGGGAGCAAACAGG